This 405-nucleotide ribosomal RNA is filed under the name uncultured bacterium. Its description in RNAcentral is "bacterial SSU rRNA". It matches the Rfam family "Bacterial small subunit ribosomal RNA", at positions 28 to 480 of the family's 1533-position model. The record is from RNAcentral.
GAUGAACGCUGGCGGCGUGCUUAACACAUGCAAGUCGAACGGACCUUCGGGUCAGUGGCGGACGGGUGAGUAACGCGUGAGAAUCUGCCCUCAGGAGGGGGAUAACGGCUGGAAACGGCCGCUAAUACCCCAUAUGCCGCGAGGUGAAAUGAAUUUCGCCUGAGGAUGAGCUCGCGUCUGAUUAGCUAGUUGGUGGGGUAAAGGCCUACCAAGGCGACGAUCAGUAGCUGGUCUGAGAGGAUGAUCAGCCACACUGGGACUGAGACACGGCCCAGACUCCUACGGGAGGCAGCAGUGGGGAAUUUUCCGCAAUGGGCGAAAGCCUGACGGAGCAACGCCGCGUGAGGGAUGAAGGCCUCUGGUCUGUAAACCUCUUUUCUCAAGGAAGAAGACCUGACGGUACUU